This is a non-coding RNA of Parelaphostrongylus tenuis, 73 nucleotides long. The record is from the annotation of a GenBank genome assembly. Lineage: Eukaryota; Metazoa; Nematoda; Chromadorea; Rhabditida; Metastrongylidae.
GCGUCAGUGGUGCAACGGUUUAGUACUUGCUGCUGGAAAGAGUAAGAUCUGAGUUCAAAUCCCGGGUGACGUA